Molecule: long non-coding RNA, 648 nt
Filed under: Cricetulus griseus (Chinese hamster)
Lineage: Eukaryota; Metazoa; Chordata; Mammalia; Rodentia; Cricetidae
Description: lncRNA (ENSCGRG00000024461.1)
Source: RNAcentral
AUGAUCAAGGGCUGGAAGCUAGGAGAUCAAAGCCUGGUUUCUUCUCUUAGUCCCACCUCAGCUCUGCCUAUGAAGCCAUCCCUCCAUCUGACCUCCAAAGAGCAGCCUUUGUUCAUUCCAUGCAGAUGUCCUGAAUGCACACCCUGUGCAAAGGGGCGUAAACUGAGCACUUGUGGUUUCAUCCAGUUCUGGAAGAAGUGGCUGUGCAAUGGAAGGAGCCACUGUGAAUCACCAGAGUGGGGGGAAAAAAUGCAGAUUGAAAUAAACAGAGAGGCAACUGGAAAUGACGAGCAUGAGCAGGCGAUGACUAAGGGACAGAUCAGUGCGUCAGACAAGGAGCUCUUAUGGAGGUGGCUUGGAGGUGGGCAGGAGACCGGAAGAAAGAGCUAUCAUUACACUUUCAUGAUUGUGUGCCCACGUCCACCCAUGCAAAAAAAGGAGGCACUGGCGGGGAGUACACAUUGGACUGGAAAUCAAAGAACAGUGGAGUCUUCUUCCAAUUUUACUUGGAUUCCAGGUAUCAAACUCAGAGUAUAAUUUCCAUGCUGUAACUCAGAUCUCCUCGUCUCCCUGCUCAGCUCCCUCCAGUGGCUUGUUAGGGCACCAUCAAUAAAGUUCAAGGUCAGGAUUUUGCCUGUUAAGCCCCCG